RNAcentral lists this ribosomal RNA (751 nucleotides) under uncultured Halomonas sp. Its description in RNAcentral is "bacterial SSU rRNA". It matches the Rfam family "Bacterial small subunit ribosomal RNA", at positions 28 to 776 of the family's 1533-position model. Lineage: Bacteria; Pseudomonadati; Pseudomonadota; Gammaproteobacteria; Oceanospirillales; Halomonadaceae. The record is from RNAcentral.
AUUGAACGCUGGCGGCAGGCCUAACACAUGCAAGUCGAGCGGUAACAGGGGUAGCUUGCUACCCGCUGACGAGCGGCGGACGGGUGAGUAAUGCAUAGGAAUCUGCCCGAUAGUGGGGGAUAACCUGGGGAAACCCAGGCUAAUACCGCGUACGUCCUACGGGAGAAAGGGGGCUCCGGCUCCCGCUAUCGGAUGAGCCUAUGUCGGAUUAGCUGGUUGGUGAGGUAACGGCUCACCAAGGCGACGAUCCGUAGCUGGUCUGAGAGGAUGAUCAGCCACAUCGGGACUGAGACACGGCCCGAACUCCUACGGGAGGCAGCAGUGGGGAAUAUUGGACAAUGGGGGGAACCCUGAUCCAGCCAUGCCGCGUGUGUGAAGAAGGCCCUCGGGUUGUAAAGCACUUUCAGUGAGGAAGAACGCCUGGUGGUUAAUACCCAUCAGGAAAGACAUCACUCACAGAAGAAGCACCGGCUAACUCCGUGCCAGCAGCCGCGGUAAUACGGAGGGUGCGAGCGUUAAUCGGAAUUACUGGGCGUAAAGCGCGCGUAGGUGGCUUGAUAAGCCGGUUGUGAAAGCCCCGGGCUCAACCUGGGAACGGCAUCCGGAACUGUCAGGCUAGAGUGCAGGAGAGGAAGGUAGAAUUCCCGGUGUAGCGGCGAAAUGCGUAGAGAUCGGGAGGAAUACCAGUGGCGAAGGCGGCCUUCUGGACUGACACUGACACUGAGGUGCGAAAGCGUGGGUAGCAAACAGG